RNAcentral lists this ribosomal RNA (796 nucleotides) under uncultured bacterium. Its description in RNAcentral is "bacterial SSU rRNA". It matches the Rfam family "Bacterial small subunit ribosomal RNA", at positions 693 to 1502 of the family's 1533-position model. The record is from RNAcentral.
GAUAUGACACAGAACACCGAUCGCGAAGGCAGCUCACUAAAGUGAAACUGACGCUCAGGCACGAAAGCGUGGGGAUCAAACAGGAUUAGAUACCCUGGUAGUCCACGCUGUAAACGAUGAUUACUCGAUGUUGGCGAUAUACUGUCAGCGUCUAAGCGAAAGCAUUAAGUAAUCCACCUGGGGAGUACGGCCGCAAGGUUGAAACUCAAAGGAAUUGACGGGGGCCCGCACAAGCGGAGGAGCAUGUGGUUUAAUUCGAUGAUACGCGAGGAACCUUACCUGGGCUAGAACGUAGGACGACCGUCCGGGAAACCGGAUCUCUCUUCGGAGCGGCCUACGAGGUGCUGCAUGGUGUCGUCAGCUCGUGCCGUGAGGUGUCGGGUUAAGUCCCAUAACGAGCGCAACCCCUAUCUUUAGUUGCCAUCAGGUCAUGCUGGGGACUCUAAAGAAACUGCCUACGCAAGUAGUGAGGAAGGUGGGGAUGACGUCAAAUCAGCACGGCCCUUACGUCCAGGGCUACACACGUGCUACAAUGGCCGGUACAAUGGGUUGCUACCUGGUGACAGGAUGCUAAUCUCAAAAACCGGUCUCAGUUCGGAUCGAAGUCUGCAACUCGACUUCGUGAAGUUGGAUUCGCUAGUAAUCGGAUAUCAGCAAUGAUCCGGUGAAUACGUUCCCGGGCCUUGUACACACCGCCCGUCAAGCCAUGGGAGUUGGGGGUACCUGAAGUCGAUAACCGCAAGGAGUCGCCUAGGGUAAAACCAAUGACUGGGGCUAAGUCGUAACAAGGUACCCG